CUAAUACAUGCAUGUUGAACGGGAUGUAGCAAUACAUUCAGUAGCGAAUGGGUGAGUAACACGUACCUAACCUACCUUUAAGACUGGGAUAACUAUUGGAAACAAUAGCUAAUACCGGAUAUAGUUAUUUAUCGCAUGAUGAGUAAUAGAAAGGAGCUUCACAGCUUCACUUAAAAAUGGGGGUGCGGAACAUUAGUUAGUUGGUAGGGUAAUGGCCUACCAAGACGAUGAUGUUUAGCCGGGCCGAGAGGCUGUACGGCCACACUGGGACUGAGAUACGGCCCAGACUCCUACGGGAGGCAGCAGUAAGGAAUUUUCCACAAUGAGCGAAAGCUUGAUGGAGCGACACAGCGUGCAGGAUGAAGUUCUUCGGAAUGUAAACUGCUGUUAUAAGGGAAGAAAAAAUAGAAUAGGAAAUGAUUUUAUCUUGACGGUACCUUAUUAGAAAGCGACGGCAAACUAUGUGCCAGCAGCCGCGGUAAUACAUAGGUCGCAAGCGUUAUCCGGAAUUAUUGGGCGUAAAGCGUCCGUAGGUUUUUUGCUAAGUCUGGAGUUAAAUGCUGAAGCUCAACUUCAGUCCGCUUUGGAUACUGGCAAAAUAGAAUUAUAAAGAGGUUAGCGGAAUUCCUAGUGAAGCGGUGGAAUGCGUAGAUAUUAGGAAGAACACCAAUAGGCGAAGGCAGCUAACUGGUUAUAUAUUGACACUAAGGGACGAAAGCGUGGGGAGCAAACAGGAUUAGAUACCCUGGUAGUCCACGCCGUAAACGAUGAUCAUUAGUUGGUGGAAUAAUUUCACUAACGCAGUUAACGCGUUAAGUGAUCCGCUUGAGUAGUAUGGUCUCAAGAGUGAAACUUAAAGGAAUUGACGGGAACCCGCACAAAGGGUGGAGCAUGUGUUUUUAUUUGAUAUGACGUGUAGAACCUUACCCACUCUUGACAUCUUCGGCAAAGCUAUAGAGAUAUAGUGGAGUUUAACAGAAUGACAGAUGGUGCAUGUUUUUCGUCCUCUGCUGUCUCGAGAUGUUAGGUUAAGUCCUGCAACGAGCGCAACCCUUUUCUUUAGUUACUAAUAUAAAGUAAAGGACUCUAGAGAUACUGCCGGGGUAACCAGGAGGAAGGUGGGGACGACGCAAAAUCAUCAGGCCUUCUAAGAGUGGGACAACACACGUGCUACAAGUGUCGGUACAAAGAGAAGCAAUAUGGUGACAUGGAGCAAAUCUCAAAAAACCGAUCUCAGUUCGGAUUGAAGUCUGCAACUCGACUUCAUGAAGUCGGAAUCGCUAGUAAUCGUAGAUCAGCUACGCUACGGUGAAUACGUUCUCGGGUUUUGUACACACCGCCCGUCACACCAGGGGAGUUGGUAAUGCCCAAAGUCGGUGAG
RNAcentral lists this ribosomal RNA (1381 nucleotides) under Mesomycoplasma hyorhinis. RNAcentral describes it as "Mycoplasma hyorhinis 16S ribosomal RNA". It matches the Rfam family "Bacterial small subunit ribosomal RNA". The record is from RNAcentral. Lineage: Bacteria; Bacillati; Mycoplasmatota; Mycoplasmoidales; Metamycoplasmataceae.